UUCUUUAUCCAUCAUUUUCAAUUUUAGCGAGUUCCAGUUUGCAAUAUCUAUGAUGAAGAAAGUGACUUUGUUGGUGCUGGAAAAAUGAUACAGGUGAGAUAGCGCGCAUUUUACAAUUUUUUGAUUAAUUUUUUAUCAUAUCUAACUAGCUUGAUCCCGAUGUGCUAGUUCUACAGGUAAUCAAAUGGUCUGAUUUUGGGUUUUUGAUCAUCGCUUAUGGCUGUUGAAAUUUCUUUUAUGUGUACAGAAGGAAUGCUAUUAUGCUAAUAAGAAUCUCAUAGGAAGAGCUCAAUCUCCGAUCCAAUGAAGUAGUAGUUAAGGGAAGGAAAACAAAAGCCAUCAAUUAUACUGUAUGUAUUGAGUUGUUUGCUGCAUAAUGAGCUGAGUGGAUUGCAGUUAAGUAGUGUGGUGUAUAUGAAUGGAUGGAGCCAUAUGAGAUGAAAUCUGUUUAUAAUUUCAUUGUGAUAAUUCUAAGAAUAUUAACUACAUUGCUGAUAAUACUAAGUUAUACAGUAUUUUAGUUAAGAGAAUCCCAUUUUGGUUUCUUCCAACGCCUCUUCAACUCUCUACUGAACUUAAAUUUGGGUGUUUGAUCAU
Molecule: long non-coding RNA, 597 nt
Filed under: Aquilegia coerulea
Lineage: Eukaryota; Viridiplantae; Streptophyta; Magnoliopsida; Ranunculales; Ranunculaceae
Description: long non-coding RNA (ACOE_LNC000171)
Source: RNAcentral